GACGAACGCUGGCGGCGUGCUUAACACAUGCAAGUCGAACGGAAAGGCCCUGCUUUUGUGGGGUGCUCGAGUGGCGAACGGGUGAGUAACACGUGAGUAACCUGCCCUUGACUUUGGGAUAACUUCAGGAAACUGGGGCUAAUACCGGAUAGGAGCUCCUGCUGCAUGGUGGGGGUUGGAAAGUUUCGGCGGUUGGGGAUGGACUCGCGGCUUAUCAGCUUGUUGGUGGGGUAGUGGCUUACCAAGGCUUUGACGGGUAGCCGGCCUGAGAGGGUGACCGGCCCCAUUGGGACUGGGAUACGGCCCAGACUCCUACGGGAGGCAGCAGUGGGGAAUAUUGCACAAUGGGCGGAAGCCUGAUGCAGCAACGCCGCGUGCGGGAUGACGGCCUUCGGGUUGUAAACCGCUUUCGCUUGUGACGAAGCGUGAGUGACGGUAAUGGGUAAAGAAGCACCGGCUAACUACGUG
RNAcentral lists this ribosomal RNA (468 nucleotides) under uncultured bacterium. Its description in RNAcentral is "partial 16S ribosomal RNA". It matches the Rfam family "Bacterial small subunit ribosomal RNA", at positions 28 to 507 of the family's 1533-position model. The record is from RNAcentral.